This 844-nucleotide ribosomal RNA is filed under the name Meyerozyma guilliermondii. Its description in RNAcentral is "partial large subunit ribosomal RNA". It matches the Rfam family "Eukaryotic large subunit ribosomal RNA", at positions 57 to 919 of the family's 3401-position model. Lineage: Eukaryota; Fungi; Ascomycota; Pichiomycetes; Serinales; Debaryomycetaceae. The record is from RNAcentral.
AAAAGAACCCAACAGGGAUUGCCUUUAGUAGCGGCGAGUGAAGCGGCAAAAGCUCAAAUUUGAAAUCUGGCGCCUUCGGUGUCCGAGUUGUAAUUUGAAGAUUGUAACCUUGGGGUUGGCUCUCGUCUAUGUUUCUUGGAACAGGACGUCACAGAGGGUGAGAAUCCCGUGCGAUGAGAUGCCCAAUUCUAUGUAAGGUGCUUUCGAAGAGUCGAGUUGUUUGGGAAUGCAGCUCUAAGUGGGUGGUAAAUUCCAUCUAAAGCUAAAUAUUGGCGAGAGACCGAUAGCGAACAAGUACAGUGAUGGAAAGAUGAAAAGAACUUUGAAAAGAGAGUGAAAAAGUACGUGAAAUUGUUGAAAGGGAAGGGUUUGAGAUCAGACUCGAUAUUUUGUGAGCCUUGCCUUCGUGGCGGGGUGACCCGCAGCUUAUCGGGCCAGCAUCGGUUUGGGCGGUAGGAUAAUGGCGUAGGAAUGUGACUUUACUUCGGUGAAGUGUUAUAGCCUGCGUUGAUGCUGCCUGCCUAGACCGAGGACUGCGAUUUUAUCAAGGAUGCUGGCAUAAUGAUCCCAAACCGCCCGUCUUGAAACACGGACCAAGGAGUCUAACGUCUAUGCGAGUGUUUGGGUGUUAAACCCGUACGCGUAAUGAAAGUGAACGUAGGUGAGGGCUCUUUUGAGUGCAUCAUCGACCGAUCCUGAUGUCUUCGGAUGGAUUUGAGUAAGAGCAUAGCUGUUGGGACCCGAAAGAUGGUGAACUAUACCUGAAUAGGGUGAAGCCAGAGGAAACUCUGGUGGAGGCUCGUAGCGGUUCUGACGUGCAAAUCGAUCGUCGAAUUUGGGUAUA